UGACUGAACGCCUCUAAGUCA
RNAcentral lists this non-coding RNA (21 nucleotides) under Arabidopsis thaliana (thale cress). The record is from RNAcentral. RNAcentral also lists the same sequence under 2 other names. Lineage: Eukaryota; Viridiplantae; Streptophyta; Magnoliopsida; Brassicales; Brassicaceae.